GAUGAACGCUGGCGGCGUGCUUAACACAUGCAAGUCGAGCGAGAAAGUUCUUCGGAACAAUCUAGCGGCGGACGGGUGAGUAACACGUGGGCAACCUGCCUCAUAGAGGGGAAUAGCCUUCCGAAAGGAAGAUUAAUACCGCAUAACAUCGUUGAAGGGCAUCCUUCGAUGAUCAAAGGAGCAAUCCGCUAUGAGAUGGGCCCGCGGCGCAUUAGCUAGUUGGUGAGGUAACGGCUCACCAAGGCGACGAUGCGUAGCCGACCUGAGAGGGUGAUCGGCCACAUUGGGACUGAGACACGGCCCAGACUCCUACGGGAGGCAGCAGUGGGGAAUAUUGCACAAUGGGGGAAACCCUGAUGCAGCAACGCCGCGUGAGUGAUGACGGCCUUCGGGUUGUAAAGCUCUGUCGUUGGGGACGAUAAUGACGGUACCCAAGGAGGAAGUCACGGCUAACUACGUGCCAGCCGCCGCUGUAA
Molecule: ribosomal RNA, 476 nt
Filed under: uncultured bacterium
Lineage: Bacteria
Description: partial 16S ribosomal RNA
Rfam family: Bacterial small subunit ribosomal RNA
Source: RNAcentral